GAUCCUGGCUCAGGAUGAACGCUAGCUACAGGCUUAACACAUGCAAGUCGAGGGGCAUCAGUUUGGUUUGCUUGCAAACCUAAAGCUGGCGACCGGCGCACGGGUGAGUAACACGUAUCCAACCUGCCUCAUACGUCGGGGAUAGCCUUUCGAAAGAAAGAUUAAUAUCCGAUAGCAUAUAUUUCCCGCAUGGGUUUUAUAUUAAAGAAAUUCGGUAUGAGAUGGGGAUGCGUUCCAUUAGUUUGG
Molecule: ribosomal RNA, 246 nt
Filed under: uncultured bacterium
Lineage: Bacteria
Description: partial 16S ribosomal RNA
Rfam family: Bacterial small subunit ribosomal RNA
Source: RNAcentral